Molecule: ribosomal RNA, 420 nt
Filed under: uncultured bacterium
Lineage: Bacteria
Description: bacterial SSU rRNA
Rfam family: Bacterial small subunit ribosomal RNA
Source: RNAcentral
UGGGGAAUAUUGCACAAUGGGGGAAACCCUGAUGCAGCGACGCCGCGUGAAGGAAGAAGUCUCUCGGUAUGUAAACUUCUAUCAGCAGGGAAGAUAAUGACGGUACCUGACUAAGAAGCCCCGGCUAACUACGUGCCAUCAGCCGCGGUAAUACGUAGGGGGCAAGCGUUAUCCGGAUUUACUGGGUGUAAAGGGAGCGUAGACGGUGAAGCAAGUCUGAUGUGAAAGGCAGGGGCUCAACCCCUGGACUGCAUUGGAAACUGUUUUACUUGAGUGCCGGAGGGGUAAGCGGAAUUCCUAGUGUAGCGGUGAAAUGCGUAGAUAUUAGGAGGAACACCAGUGGCGAAGGCGGCUUACUGGACGGUAACUGACGUUGAGGCUCGAAAGCGUGGGGAGCAAACAGGAUUAGAUACCCUGGUA